AUGGCCGCAGUACCUUGACUGUGCUAAGGUAGCAUAAUAAAUUGACUCUUAAUUGGGGCCUUGAAUGAACGGAUAAAUGAAUAAUUUCUGUCUUAAAUAAACUUAAUAAAAAUUACUAAGAAGGUGAAAAUUCCUUUAAAUUUAUUUAAUAGACGAGAAGACCCUAGGAGUUUUAAAUUUUGUUGGGGCGACAGUAUAGCAUAAUUAAUAAACCUAUAUAAAUUAAUAUAUAUAAAACGAAUAAUUUUAAUAAUAAAUAAACUACCCUAGGGAUAACAGCAUAAUUUAUAUUUAAGUUUGUGACCUCGAUGUUGGACUAGGAACUUUUAAUAUUAAUAAUAUUAAUUGGUAGUUCUGUUCGA
RNAcentral lists this ribosomal RNA (362 nucleotides) under Fastosarion sarina. RNAcentral's name for it is "partial 16S large subunit ribosomal RNA". Lineage: Eukaryota; Metazoa; Mollusca; Gastropoda; Stylommatophora; Helicarionidae. The record is from RNAcentral.